CUCAUGUGAUAUCAGCUCACGGCAAAAGUUAAGGAAUAAAAAAAGAAAAGAUCUUUCUUCUUUCCACCUACUGAAUUCUGCCUGAACCUCUCCCACUCCCAUACACACACCAACACGCCCACUGUUCCACAGCAAUAUACUGCUUGGCAUUCUGGCAGGGAACAGAAAGACAAAGCAUCAUGGGAAGAAACGGUUAGAAAAAAAUAACUGAAAGAUGUGGAAAUUUUUAUGCUCAGAGGCUCUUGGCAGUCAAUGAGAAAUAGGAGAUUGGAAUGGAAACUAUAAAGGGGUGCUGGAAAAGGUCAGAGAAAAUCAUCAUCAUAAAGUGAAGUGAUUUUCUUCUUUAUGAGCUCCUGAUGUAAACAGACUGAUGAGCACAACACAAUCCUUACUCACCCACAUGACAUCAUACACAAUCACAGCUAAAUGUUUCUAUCUGUCAAAGCCUGAAGAGUGACUACCAGAUUGUUGCCUGAUUGCUAAGAAUUGAUGCUUGUUCAACUGGGAUCUAUCCAGAGAAACAUAAUCCACUUCAAGAAUUUUCUGAAAAGGGAAUCUAAUGCAAGGAAUUAAUUGCAAAGAUGAUGCAAUAUCUGAGAACGAUAGAUUUGACAGUUUGGUCUACAUUUCAAGGCUGGUUAGAUGGGAGGUAUGUCCUGGUAUAUUAGUUAAUUUAGGUAUAUCUUACUGAUUUACAUUGCAUGAUUUAUCAGAUGCUAUUGACUCAUUCAAGUAAAUACAUUUAAAAAUUAUACCUUUUGCUCAUACUAGUAAUUGGGUCAGUCAUGCUCUUGAAGGAGGCAUACUGGGAGCCAUACAUUACCAGAGGCAGAGGAUUCAAUGGAUGUUUUCUGUUUUCUCUUCUUCGUGCUCUGUAAUUGAGACACAGAACAAAGGAGGAAGACUAAGUGCUCUGCCUUAACUCAGGCCAGGCUGUGGGCGCAAGUGCACCAACGGCUUUGAGACUAACACACAGCUCAGAACAAGGAGGUGAAAAUCUGACAGCUCAAAAUGAAGCAAAAACCCAAGAUUAAAACAGACACCAUUUUGUGCCCACUCAGUCUUCUUUCCAGGGUCAUACAUGUGUUUAUAACCGCACUUCUACAUUCUAUUAUGAGGGCAAGAGUUGUGGCUGCUAUAUAAAUGCUUCCUAGCAUAGUUCCUGACAACUAGGUGAUUCAUGAAUAUUUGCUGAAGAAAUAAAAAUAACUUUAUGAA
This 1218-nucleotide long non-coding RNA is filed under the name Homo sapiens (human). RNAcentral describes it as "HSALNT0376138". Lineage: Eukaryota; Metazoa; Chordata; Mammalia; Primates; Hominidae. The record is from RNAcentral.